Molecule: long non-coding RNA, 2071 nt
Organism: Pecten maximus
Lineage: Eukaryota; Metazoa; Mollusca; Bivalvia; Pectinida; Pectinidae
Exons: 2
Source: RefSeq, a predicted model, not a curated record
UUUGACAAAAGGGGUUUCUUAAACAAAUAUUGAAGCAUUAAAUUGACGCUGAAACAUUUCUUCAGCGGAAUUUAAAUAUCGUGACACGUCAACUAGGAUUAGAAUAAAAGAAAAUAUAUCGCGAAAUCGGAAGUUUUUGUCAGAUACAAACCUGGUAUACAAAGUCACAAGUUCUACAAUAGCAUAUAUCUACGCCAAACUGUUGAGAUUUGCUAGAUAAGGAUGCGGCAGCUUAAAGGGAAAGUAAAGGAAAGCAAGAAGGAGCGGAGAGAAAGAAGAGAAGACAAUGCCAAGAACAGAGACAGGCUCUUUACGGUAGUCAUUCCUACCUUAGCUGUUUUAGCAGCCAUCAUCACUGUCUAUGUCUUCAUCAAUUCAAGGCCUGGUUCAGCUUGAUCAGUAUGCAGACAACCUUUUACACAGCAUGAUCAAUGCUGGCCCCUUAACACAAGACAUGUGUGAGUUUUGGUGCUGAAUACAUAAGGAGGAUAUUGAUGUGCAGUUACUGUAUAAAGAUACCUAUUUCAUUGCUUAUAUAUGGACAAACCUACUGGCAGCAUUCGUUGCCUGGAUUAUAAUUCAAAUAUAUUUGUAUAUUUUCUCGUCAUAUGUGAUUGUGUUUCAUGUGUCUGAAGAACAACUAACUUAGUUUGUGAUCAAUUGAAAAUUCAACUUGCAUAAUGCUGUAAUGUAAAAAAAACAAAACAAAAAAACAAUAUUACAGAAAAUAUCAUGUUAGCUCUAGAUCUUUAUAGUGGAAGAUGAUUAAAGAAACUUAUGAUAUAACAACUUCAGUUCACACAUACAUUGUCUGUUGUAGAAUCCAUUCGCACAGUUAAAAUGCAUUAAGCAUAUCAGAGUAGCUUAUACUUACCUACCAGUGUUUUUGUUUUUGGUGCCAAAUUUUAAAAUAGAAAGUGUGACUUCUUUAGUAAACUACCAGUAAAGUAACAUUUUUGUCACUUUUUUACACCAUUUGCAAAUAGGACCUAAAUAUACUUUAGAAUUGAAAAUACUCGAGUACUACAAACAAUUGAAAAAAAAUUGCAAUAUACAACUGUAUAUGAUUUUAGUGACCUUGACAUUAUCUGGGAUACCUAUGUUAUAGAACAUAAUAAAUAACUAAGUUUGAAUACUAUCUCGGUAAUUUCAUUCCAAAUGUUGUUUAACUGGUAAAUUGAAAACAUGAAAGAAAAUACUCAUUUUUAGGUGACUCAAACUUUUUUUUUGCAAUAUUUUCAAUAAUUAUGUUUUGGAGUUUCAAUAAUUAUAGAACAUUAAUUUUUAGUUUAAGACACAAAUCACUUUCCUGUUUCUAGGAAAAGAAAAUGUUUAAUCUGUGCUCCUCAAUAUUAUCUCAAUUAAAUAGUUAAUUAAAAGAUGUUAUACUUUUAUCAUUGUUUGUUAACAAUUUCCUAUUUUUAUAAAAUCUACAUCAAUCUGGAAUAAUAUCAAUACAUGUACAUGUAUAUAUCAAUUUGUGUUUUUGAACAAACAUAUUUGUUGGUUGAAUUUCAGUUUAAAAUGAAUGUUAUGUUACUGUCAUUUUUACUUCAUGAUUUAACUAUUUUACAUUUCUGCCAAAACAAAAUGAUUUGCUCACAUUUUACUUAAUAUCAAAAUGAUUGAAAAUUAGGAUUUAUAUCAUACAUUCUUUUGUACAGUGUGUGUACACAUGGUUAAGGAAUUUUAUAGUAAAGUAACAUCACUUCCUUUAGUUUUUGGUUAAAUAUUCAUUAUCUAACUGAUUUUCUGGGAAUUAGCCGAUGCCUGGUAAUAAACCAACCAUGGGUAUACGUAUCUAUUGCAGUUCGGUAGAAAUACAAAGAAAUACUACAUCCUUCAAUAAGCCCACCCUGUAGGUAAUUUGUUGGGUGCCGAGCUGGGAUUAAUGUGAUUAAUAAGAUUGAGUGUUGAUGCCUGCAGUUUUUGUAUACAAAAUGUAUGUGUGUUGAUAAAUUGUUGAAGUUUUAAGUAUUAAAUUUACAUGUGUUCUGUGAUGUCUGACAUACCAGGUACAAAUUUAUAUAUUAUUGUUCGUAAUGAAAUAAAAUGGUUGUUGGAUCCUUAA